Molecule: small nuclear RNA, 326 nt
Filed under: Chinchilla lanigera (long-tailed chinchilla)
Lineage: Eukaryota; Metazoa; Chordata; Mammalia; Rodentia; Chinchillidae
Description: 7SK RNA (ENSCLAG00000021665.1)
Rfam family: 7SK RNA
About the family: 7SK was discovered as an abundant small nuclear RNA in the mid-70s but a possible function has only recently been suggested.
Source: Rfam by way of RNAcentral
GGAUGUGAGGGCAAUCUGGCUAUAACACCUGUCACCCUAUUGCUCACCACGGUUGAUUCAGCUGAUCUCUGGCUGGCCAGGAAGGUAUUUUCUUCCUCCCUCAGGGUUCCAUGUACAUCCCUCCUGAGCAAAGCUGCAUGCUUAGUCAAAGAGGACGACUACCCUGGAUUGAGGAGGACUAUUUCCUUGGUCAAGCAAGGGUCUACAAGUAGCUGCACUCUCUUGCUAGAACCUCCAAACAUGCUCUUAGAAUAAAGAUUGUAUAAAAAUACUUUUCAUGCAUUAUUUUAAUUCAAAUUAUCUCCUCUGUGGCCAGAGGAUUCUUU